GCAUAUUGGUCGAAUUUUAGAUGUUUCAAUGACGAGUGCCAUCGGAAAUGGUUCGUUGUUUUAUCGUACUCCGUCAAAAUUUGAUGGUGCUGACACCUCGUCGGAAAAGUUAGGAGUUCUAAACCUACGGGCAUGUAAUUUUUGCAAAGCUAAGUUAUUGGGCUUACGUCAAAAUUUGAUGGCGCUGACACCUCGUCGGAAAAGUUAGGAGUUCUAAACCUACGGGCAUGUAAUUUUUGCAAAGCUAAGUUAUUGGGCUUACCGCCCUUAAGGGCAAUGGAGGCUUCUAGAACGUCUCAUAUCAAUGGAAAAGCCGAAAAUGUUCAUCAGCCGGGAUACAAUUCAAACGAUC
RNAcentral lists this long non-coding RNA (352 nucleotides) under Nicotiana benthamiana. Its description in RNAcentral is "long non-coding RNA (NBEN_LNC013319)". The record is from RNAcentral. Lineage: Eukaryota; Viridiplantae; Streptophyta; Magnoliopsida; Solanales; Solanaceae.